RNAcentral lists this ribosomal RNA (406 nucleotides) under uncultured bacterium. RNAcentral's name for it is "partial 16S ribosomal RNA". It matches the Rfam family "Bacterial small subunit ribosomal RNA", at positions 29 to 526 of the family's 1533-position model. The record is from RNAcentral.
AUUGAACGCUGGCGGCAGGCCUAACACAUGCAAGUCGAGCGAGCGGCGGACGGUUGAGUAAUGUCUGGGAAACUGCCUGAUGGCGGGGGAUAACUACUGGAAACGGUAGCUAAUACCGCAUACCAUCAGAUUUGCCCAGAUGGGAUUAGCUAGUAGGUGGGGGAACGGCUCACCUAGGCGACGAUCCCUAGCGGGUCUGAGAGGAUGACCCGCCACACUGGAACUGAGACACGGUCCAGACGCCUACGGGAGGCAGCAGUGGGGAAUAUUGGACAAUGGGCGAAAGCCUGAUGCAGCCAGGCCGCGUGUGUGAAGAAGGCCUUCGGGUUGUAAAGCACUUUCAGCGGGGAGGCGUUACCCGCAGAAGAAGCACCGGCUAACUCCGUGCCAGCAGCCGCGGUAAUUC